UACGUAGGGUGCAAGCGUUAAUCGGAAUUACUGGGCGUAAAGCGUGCGCAGGCGGUUUUGUAAGACAGAUGUGAAAUGCCCGGGCUUAACCUGGGAACUGCAUUUGUGACUGCAUGGCUAGAGUUUGGCAGAGGGGGGUAGAAUUCCACGUGUAGCAGUGAAAUGCGUAGAUAUGUGGAGGAACACCGGUGGCGAAGGCGGCUCUCUGGGCCGAUACUGACGCUGAGGAGCGAAAGCGUGGGGAGCGAACAGG
RNAcentral lists this ribosomal RNA (253 nucleotides) under uncultured bacterium. RNAcentral describes it as "partial 16S ribosomal RNA". It matches the Rfam family "Bacterial small subunit ribosomal RNA", at positions 524 to 776 of the family's 1533-position model. The record is from RNAcentral.